UGCAGUAGAAGGAGCUGAAUCUGAGAUAUGGCUGGCUUUGGGUGUCUUAUUGGGAGGUUUCUUUUUGAUUCCUCGACAUCUGAAAUCUGCUCAAAGACAAAAGAUGCACUCGAGUGCUAGCAAAAAGAAGGUGCGUGUAAUAGUAGGAACUUCAAAGCAAGCCUAAAAGAGUUUAUGAUUUUAAUAUUUCAGUGUUUCAAUUGCAUUGCAUUCUCGAGUUCGCAAUUUGCUUGCAGGGGAACCCACAACCUGUCAGACUGAAAGAUUCUGCGCUCUGAAACUCUCAAAGAUUUUUAUGUUUUAGAAUUUAUUUAAUCAUCCAUCUUAUAAGGAUAAGGGAUUUAGCCCUUUCUUUAUUUAAUUGAAAGUUAAUAAACCAUGCAAGUGGUGGCAUUGUCUCAGACAAAAAAUGAAGUUGCAUUUCAAAUUCUGGAUGUGUGCAUGCUAUUAGAGCUUGACCCAUGCUUCCUUUUUGCUCAAAGCUCUCUUUGUUUGCGCUAAAAACAUUCGUGAGGAUCUAACUUCUUAAUCAUAGACUAGAUCUAACUUCUUAAUCAUAGACUAGAUCUAACUUCUUAAUCAUAGACUA
This 589-nucleotide unclassified non-coding RNA is filed under the name Hevea brasiliensis (rubber tree). Lineage: Eukaryota; Viridiplantae; Streptophyta; Magnoliopsida; Malpighiales; Euphorbiaceae. The record is from RNAcentral.